GUGCCAGCAGCCGCGGUAAUACGUAGGGUGCGAGCGUUAAUCGGAAUUACUGGGCGUAAAGCGUGCGCAGGCGGUUCGCCAAGUCAGGUGUGAAAUCCCCGGGCUUAACCUGGGAAUUGCGCUUGAAACUAGCGGGCUUGAGUGCGGCAGAGGGGGGUGGAAUUCCACGUGUAGCAGUGAAAUGCGUAGAGAUGUGGAGGAACACCGAUGGCGAAGGCAGCCCCCUGGGUCGACACUGACGCUCAUGCACGAAAGCGUGGGGAGCAAACAGGAUUAGAUACCCUAGUAGUCC
This 292-nucleotide ribosomal RNA is filed under the name uncultured bacterium. Its description in RNAcentral is "partial 16S ribosomal RNA". It matches the Rfam family "Bacterial small subunit ribosomal RNA", at positions 505 to 796 of the family's 1533-position model. The record is from RNAcentral.